GAGUUGUUAGCUCAGUGGUAGAGUGCAUGCUUUGUGUGCAUGAUGUCCUGGGUUCAAACAAAUUCAAUCUG
Molecule: transfer RNA, 71 nt
Filed under: Dallia pectoralis (Alaska blackfish)
Lineage: Eukaryota; Metazoa; Chordata; Actinopteri; Esociformes; Umbridae
Description: tRNA-OTHER
Source: RNAcentral